UUCAAUUUAUGAUGCUGUUUUGUGACUCAGUUAAUAGGAAAAGUAUUUACCUUCUACCUUGUCAGUUUUUAAAGAUUUUCAUGCUUUCGGUUAUCUUAAACUCCUUACGUUAUUAUUUUUAUGCCAACCUUACUAUACGUUUCCUGAAGUGAAAGUUGGUAAAUGCUCAGCAGUCUUGUGUCAUUUAGUUCUCUGCAGUGAAGUUUUACUUGUUUUUUUUCCCCCUUUAAAUCACAGAAAGCAUGCGGGAGGAGUCCUCGCAGCUGAAGUUGGUGGGAGAGUCAGUACUUCUCAUUUAAAUUAUUUAAAAAUGUCAUUCAUUCAUGGAAAACAGUUAUAUUUCGAACAUAUUAUUUCUAAUAUUUCUGUGGUUUUUAACUUUUUAAUGAAUGUCACAUAGGACAAGUGGUAAUUUGUAUAUAAAGAACUUGGUAAAAAAUUUGCUUAAUGUAAAUAUAGCCACAGUUAGAAUAGACUCAUCAGUAUAUUUUUGAUAAUUUUUCAUGUAUGGUAAAAGUUAAAGUUAACAGAUAUUCUGAUAUAAAUCUCAAGAGUUUUGAGAGUCAUUGUGGGAAAAUGGGAAGUUUUUAGACUUUCUUAAAAAGACUUUGUUAAAAUUUUAGGACACAUUUUUCCAGACAUCAUUGUUUGACCUAAUUUUGCAGUCUUUGAUAAUACUGCUUUAGAAGCUCCGUGGAAUCAGUGCGAACGCUCCUGUCUGCGUGGACAGUCUGUGUUACAGCCCGUGCAGCUGCUCUGACUCGCACUGUGCACUGUGCCCAGCCCCUUUGUCUCCCUCCUUGUUCAUUUCCAGCUACCGUGACUUUGUUAUUAAAGUAUAUGCAAAUAUGG
RNAcentral lists this long non-coding RNA (852 nucleotides) under Rattus norvegicus (Norway rat). RNAcentral's name for it is "long non-coding RNA NONRATT025664". Lineage: Eukaryota; Metazoa; Chordata; Mammalia; Rodentia; Muridae. The record is from RNAcentral.